AUUGAACGCUGGCGGCAUGCUUUACACAUGCAAGUCGAGCGGCAGCGCGGGGGCAACCCUGGCGGCGAGCGGCGAACGGGUGAGUAAUGCAUCAGAACGUGUCCCGUAGUGGGGGAUAACGUUCGGAAACGGACGCUAAUACCGCAUACGUCCUACGGGAGAAAGCAGGGGACCUUCGGGCCUUGCGCUAUCAGAUGAGCCUAGGUCGGAUUAGCUAGUUGGUGAGGUAAUGGCUCACCAAGGCGACGAUCCGUAACUGGUCUGAGAGGAUGAUCAGUCACACUGGAACUGAGACACGGUCCAGACUCCUACGGGAGGCAGCAGUGGGGAAUAUUGGACAAUGGGCGAAAGCCUGAUCCAGCCAUGCCGCGUGUGUGAAGAAGGUCUUCGGAUUGUAAAGCACUUUAAGUUGGGAGGAAGGGCAUUAACCUAAUACGUUAGUGUUUUGACGUUACCGACAGAAUAAGCACCGGCUAACUCUGUGC
This 485-nucleotide ribosomal RNA is filed under the name uncultured bacterium. RNAcentral's name for it is "bacterial SSU rRNA". It matches the Rfam family "Bacterial small subunit ribosomal RNA", at positions 30 to 508 of the family's 1533-position model. The record is from RNAcentral.